Molecule: ribosomal RNA, 506 nt
Filed under: uncultured bacterium
Lineage: Bacteria
Description: bacterial SSU rRNA
Rfam family: Bacterial small subunit ribosomal RNA
Source: RNAcentral
GACGAACGCUGGCGGCGUGGAUUAGGCAUGCAAGUCGAACGGUAUCAUCCUUUCGGGGGUGAGAGAGUGGCGAACUGGUGAGUAACACGUAGGUUAUCUACCCUCAAGACGGGGACAACCCAGGGAAACUUGGGCUAAUACCGGAUGUGAGCAACUUUUAGUUGUUUGAAAGGUGGCGUAAGCUGUCGCUUGGGGAUGAGCCUGCGUCCUAUUAGUUAGUUGGUGAGGUAACGGCUCACCUAGGCAAUGAUAGGUAGGCGGCCUUAACGGGUGGUCGCCCACACUGGGAUUGAGAUACGGCCCAGACUCCUACGGGAGCAGCAGUCGAGAAUAGUCUACAAUGGUCGGAAGACUGAUAGUGCGACGCCGCGUGAACGAUGAAUCCCUUCGGGGUGUAAAGUUCUUUUAUAUGUGAGCAGUGCUUCUUAUAUUAACAGUAUGGGGAAGAGAUAUUAGCAUAUGAAUAAGCAACGGCUAACUCCGUGCCAGCCAGCCGCGGUAAGACG